GAGUUUGAUCAUGGCUCAGGAUGAACGCUAGCGAUAGGCUUAACACAUGCAAGUCGAGGGGCAGCAUGAACUUAGCUUGCUAAGUUUGAUGGCGACCGGCGCACGGGUGCGUAACGCGUAUGCAACUUGCCUUACAGAGGGGGAUAACCCGUUGAAAGACGGACUAAUACCGCAUACACUUGCUUGGUUGCAUGAUCGGGCAAGGAAAUAUUUAUAGCUGUAAGUUAGGCAUGCGUCCCAUUAGCUGGUUGGUGAGGUAACGGCUCACCAAGGCAACGAUGGGUAGGGGAACUGAGAGGUUUAUCCCCCACACUGGUACUGAGACACGGACCAGACUCCUACGGGAGGCAGCAGUGAGGUCAUAUUGGUCAAUGGGCGAGAGCCUGAACCAGCCAAGUCGCGUGAAGCUUGACUGUCCUAAGGAUUGUAAACUUCUUUUAUACGGGAAUAACGGGC
Molecule: ribosomal RNA, 456 nt
Filed under: Porphyromonas gulae
Lineage: Bacteria; Pseudomonadati; Bacteroidota; Bacteroidia; Bacteroidales; Porphyromonadaceae
Description: bacterial SSU rRNA
Rfam family: Bacterial small subunit ribosomal RNA
Source: RNAcentral